UAUUACAUGUGUCUUGGAGUUCUUUGCCCAAUUAGACAAACCUUCUUGAAAUUAUAGGCAUUGUUUUUUUGUCUUUGUUUUUGUUUCUCCUAAAGCAGAUGACACAGUGCUGUUUAUGUUGGCCAGCACCCAAUAAGCAAAUAAUGGGAAAUUGAUUAUUGAUUAUUUCCUCAUUCCCAAGUGAAAAGGAGAAAGGUAUCUCUAUUGGAGAUGAACGCAUGUUCAAUACACGUGGCCUGCCUGAGUCAUUAGCAAAGUGUCCAACAACUCUGAGGCGUAUCCUCAAAUGAAGCCUUGUCUCUGUGAAAUUCCUGAUAAAUCGUCAUUUUAUGGAAUGCCACAGGAAGAAGUUUUCUUUACAAGUUCUGAAGACUUGUGAUGAAUGAGUCCAUAGUUUCACCUUUGAAAAUGUCCCUGGGAGUGUCAACCCCAUCACUUUUACUUAUAUUACACUCAUAAUCAGUUCAUCUCGCCAAGAAAAAUAAUAUUAUCCUCAUGCCCAAACUUGUGACUUGAUUUGAAAACCAGUAAAUCAGAAAUAAAACUUCCCAUGUGUUUUUUUCCUACAUGAA
Long non-coding RNA from Homo sapiens (human), 572 nucleotides. RefSeq lists it as uncharacterized. The record is from RefSeq and is a predicted model, not a curated record. Lineage: Eukaryota; Metazoa; Chordata; Mammalia; Primates; Hominidae. The transcript has 4 exons.